This 641-nucleotide long non-coding RNA is filed under the name Pongo abelii (Sumatran orangutan). Its description in RNAcentral is "lincRNA". The record is from RNAcentral. Lineage: Eukaryota; Metazoa; Chordata; Mammalia; Primates; Hominidae.
GGCUUUUGGCUCAAUUCUGAAUAAACAGUGCACAUCCAUGUGGGAGCAAUGAGGAGGAACUGUAGCAUCUGGAACAGUCCAAAAAGGAAGCUGGGAGUCAGCCCAUCACGAGAUUGCUUGAUCAGAAUCACAUGAACUGGAAAUUCCCUGUCUCCCCUUAACCAGCACUGGAAGCAGAUGGGAAAAGAAUGGCUGUGACUGACUCACACUCUAACCCAGCAACCCUCAGCAUACAAGUGGGAGACCAUAAAGUUUUUCAAGACCCCAAAAGAGGCCAAAGGUCUGAUAAUUGCUGGGAGAAGGUCCACUAUCCAAGAAGAGAAGAGGAAAAGGAAUUAAAAUCUCCAAGCACUGGGGAUGCAAGAAGAGAGUUGCACAGGAGAGAAAGAAGAAGGCGUCCAUGGGGUGACCCUGCCAUUGGAGGGAAAUCCAUGCGGAUAUGUGCAGGGAGUCUAGGAAGUGAAGCCUUAGUGAUCAUUUACAAGAAUGAGGGUUAGGUAAAAUAAGGGAUACAAAGCCACCUGUAGUCUGUUCUAACCUCACUCCACCACUCUAUACAAUCUGUGUUUUGUCAUCUGAAACGUUAAGUAAAGACCUGUUUGGGUCUUCUUCGGAAUCCCAUACAUUUGAGUUCAUUAGUC